RNAcentral lists this microRNA precursor (156 nucleotides) under Picea abies (Norway spruce). RNAcentral's name for it is "miR858a stem-loop (pab-MIR858a)". Its record names the gene pab-MIR858a. The record is from miRBase by way of RNAcentral. Lineage: Eukaryota; Viridiplantae; Streptophyta; Pinopsida; Pinales; Pinaceae.
GCAGUUGUUCUUUUAUUCGUUGUCUGUUCGACCCUGUGCUUAUCAUUCUUUAUCGUCAUUAUCUACAUCUGAAUAUUGUUUCUAGAUCUGGAAUAAUUAUCUGAAAAUUUGUAUGGAGAUGCACCAGAUUGUAGGACAACCAAAAAAUAUAUAUGC